This 428-nucleotide unclassified non-coding RNA is filed under the name Hevea brasiliensis (rubber tree). Lineage: Eukaryota; Viridiplantae; Streptophyta; Magnoliopsida; Malpighiales; Euphorbiaceae. The record is from RNAcentral.
CCUGACAAACAUAGGUUGCCAAGGAUUAUUCUAGUCUGCUGUUUGCUCCAUAACAUAAUCAUUGAUUUGGAAGAUGAGGCACAGGAUGAUAUUCCUUUAUCUCAUGAGCAUGACCCAGACUACCAACAACAGAUUUGUGAAUCCGUCGACAUAAAAGGCGUGUAUCUGAGAGACAAGCUGUCUUUAUGCUUGUCUGGAAGAUAUCAUGAACAUUUUCUAUUUUCAACAGCUUGGUUAGCCACUGAAGAAGUCAACUGUUACUUGAGAGUGCUUUUGAGACAUGAUCUCUCAAUGCGUGCUAUAAAGAUGCAGUCAGUUUUCCCUUUUUUAUUGUAAUUUUUAUUUUUAAAAUUGUAAAUAGCCUAGCUGAAAUGGUGGCAUCAUUCAUGAAACUAUUAAGGUAAUGGCUGGGACAACCAUGCAAGUCU